Molecule: ribosomal RNA, 400 nt
Filed under: uncultured bacterium
Lineage: Bacteria
Description: bacterial SSU rRNA
Rfam family: Bacterial small subunit ribosomal RNA
Source: RNAcentral
GGGGAAUAUUGGACAAUGGGUGCAAGCCUGAUCCAGCCAUGCCGCGUGAGUGAUGAAGGCCUUAGGGUUGUAAAGCUCUUUUAGCAGGGAAGAUAAUGACUGUACCUGCGGAAUAAGCUCCGGCUAACUUCGUGCCAGCAGCCGCGGUAAUACGAAGGGAGCUAGCGUUGUUCGGAAUCACUGGGCGUAAAGCGCACGUAGGCGGAUUUGUUAGUGAGGGGUGAAAUCCCGGGGCUCAACCUCGGAACUGCCUUUCAUACUGCAGAUCUCGAGUCCGAUAGAGGUGGGUGGAAUUCCUAGUGUAGAGGUGAAAUUCGUAGAUAUUAGGAAGAACACCGGUGGCGAAGGCGGCCCACUGGAUCGGUACUGACGCUGAGGUGCGAAAGCGUGGGGAGCAAAC